Molecule: ribosomal RNA, 219 nt
Filed under: Triticum aestivum (bread wheat)
Lineage: Eukaryota; Viridiplantae; Streptophyta; Magnoliopsida; Poales; Poaceae
Description: partial small subunit ribosomal RNA
Source: RNAcentral
AUGCAUGUUGUGAAAUUUGGCUACAGAUGGAACAUAGGGGAUGGGAGCAGAACCAGGUUCUGGGAAGAUACUUGGUUUGGCACAUCCCCCCUAGCAGUCCAAUUUUGGCCUAUUUACUCUGUCUGCAAUGAGCUUAACAAAAGUGUCAAUGAAGUUUGGGACGGUCAAUGCCUAAAACUCACUUUUAGAAGGAACUUUAGUGAUAGUCUCAUGGAAUAA